Long non-coding RNA from Cyanistes caeruleus (blue tit), 420 nucleotides. RefSeq lists it as uncharacterized. Lineage: Eukaryota; Metazoa; Chordata; Aves; Passeriformes; Paridae. The record is from RefSeq and is a predicted model, not a curated record.
AGUAACUUCAGAGAAGUAUAGCUUGCAGCUGAAGUGAAAAGCAAGAAGGUUUGAGUCUUAUGAACACUUUCAUUGAGUCUGGUCUCAAAGAAGCUAAAGGUACUAACAGACCCUGGAAUGCCCUGAGAGUUUCUGUGAGCCAGGAAUAAUUGCCCGUUGCUGACUUGCCUGAUGCCAUGAUAUUUUGAAGUGUAAGAAAGUUUAUUCAUAUGGAUGCAAGUUCUGCAGAUCCAAAUCACUUCAAGAGAAGAGAACUGCUUUCUCUGGCCAGUGUUUUUACCUUUUCCUGUUAGAUGGAUGUUAUAUAGCUCACACUUGUGUAAUCGUAUUUUUCUAUAUUCAGCAGUGACUUAAGCAUUCUUUUAUAUAGAUACAUAUUUAUAUGUAAAUGACAGAGGGAAUAAAACAAACUCAAAUCUU